Caenorhabditis elegans is the source of this 146-nucleotide non-coding RNA. Lineage: Eukaryota; Metazoa; Nematoda; Chromadorea; Rhabditida; Rhabditidae. The record is from Ensembl.
UGACAAUAUAGAAAAACUGAGAAUAGGAGAUUAGUACGAAGAAAACCUGAAUUAUUAUCUUGUUAUUGCCUAAUAAACCACGUUCUUACCAAAUUACUCAUCAUAAAUAUUAAAGUUGGUCCAGUGAAACCAAGAGCGACAAACAA